Molecule: ribosomal RNA, 253 nt
Filed under: uncultured bacterium
Lineage: Bacteria
Description: partial 16S ribosomal RNA
Rfam family: Bacterial small subunit ribosomal RNA
Source: RNAcentral
UACGGAGGGGGCUAGCGUUGUUCGGAAUUACUGGGCGUAAAGGGCGCGUAGGCGGACAGCUUAGUCAGAGGUGAAAGCCCAGGGCUCAACCUUGGAAUUGCCUUUGAUACUGGCUGUCUUGAGUUCGGGAGAGGUGAGUGGAAUGCCGAGUGUAGAGGUGAAAUUCGUAGAUAUUCGGCGGAACACCAGUGGCGAAGGCGACUCACUGGCCCGAUACUGACGCUGAGGCGCGAAAGCGUGGGGAGCAAACAGG